UAGAGUUUGAUCCUGGCUCAGGACAACGCUGGCGGCACGCCUAACACAUGCAAGUCGAACGGAGUGAAGAUGCUCGCAUCUGAACUUAGUGGCGGACGGGUGAGUAACACGUGGGCAACCUGCCUUUCAGAGGGGGAUAACGUUUGGAAACGAACGCUAAUACCGCAUAAAAUAUCGGAGUCGCAUGGCACUGAUAUCAAAGGAGCAAUCCGCUGAAAGAUGGGCUCGCGUCCGAUUAGGCAGUUGGCGGGGUAACGGCCCACCAAACCGACAAUCGGUAGCCGGACUGAGGGGUUGAACGGCCACAUUGGGACUGAGACACGGCCCAGACUCCUACGGGAGGCAGCAGUGGGGGAUAUUGCACAAUGGGGGAAACCCUGAUGCAGCGAUGCCGCGUGAAUGAAGACGGCCUUCGGGUUGUAAAGUUCUGUCGCAGGGGACGAAAAUGACGGUACCCUGCAAGAAAGCUCCGGCUAACUACGUG
This 484-nucleotide ribosomal RNA is filed under the name uncultured Oscillospiraceae bacterium. Its description in RNAcentral is "bacterial SSU rRNA". It matches the Rfam family "Bacterial small subunit ribosomal RNA", at positions 1 to 507 of the family's 1533-position model. The record is from RNAcentral. Lineage: Bacteria; Bacillati; Bacillota; Clostridia; Eubacteriales; Oscillospiraceae.